CCUACGGGCGGCAGCAGUGGGGAAUAUUGGGCAAUGGGCGCAAGCCUGAACCAGCAACGCCGCGUGAAGGAAGAAGGCUUUCGGGUUGUAAACUUCUUUUGACCGGGAAGAGUAGAAGACGGUACCUGUCGAAUAAGCCACGGCUAACUACGUGCCAGCAGCCGCGGUCAUCCGUAAGUGGCAAGCGUUGUCCGGAUUUACUGGGUGUAAAGGGCGUGCUGCCGGAGAGACAAGUCAGAUGUGAAAUCCACGGGCUCAACCCGUGAACUGCAUUUGAAACUGUUUCCCUUGAGUGGCGGAGAGGUAAGCGGAAUGCGUGGUGUAGCGGUGAAAUGCGUAGAUAGAAGGAAGAACACCAGUGGCGAAGGCGGAUUACUGGACGAUAACUGACGGUGAGGCGCGAAAGCGUGGGGAGCAAACAGGAUUAGAUACCCCGGUAGUC
This 442-nucleotide ribosomal RNA is filed under the name uncultured bacterium. Its description in RNAcentral is "partial 16S ribosomal RNA". It matches the Rfam family "Bacterial small subunit ribosomal RNA", at positions 338 to 795 of the family's 1533-position model. The record is from RNAcentral.